GACGAACCGUACGAACGUUAUUCGGAAUCACUGGGCUUAAAGGGUGCGUAGGCUGCGCAGCAAGUUGGGUGUGAAAUCCCUCGGCUUAACCGAGGAACUGCGCCCAAAACUGCUGUGCUCGAGGGAGAUAGAGGUGAGCGGAACUUAGGGUGGAGCGGUGAAAUGCGUUGAUAUCCUAAGGAACACCGGUGGCGAAAGCGGCUCACUGGAUCUCUUCUGACGCUGAGGCACGAAAGCUAGGGGAGCGAACAGG
Molecule: ribosomal RNA, 253 nt
Filed under: uncultured bacterium
Lineage: Bacteria
Description: partial 16S ribosomal RNA
Rfam family: Bacterial small subunit ribosomal RNA
Source: RNAcentral